UGAGGAAUAUUGGUCAAUGGGCGGGAGCCUGAACCAGCCAAGCCGCGUGAGGGAGGAAGGCCCUAUGGGUCGUAAACCUCUUUUGUCAGGGAACAAAAGCGAGUAUGUAUACUAGUCUGAGUGUACCUGAAGAAAAAGCAUCGGCUAACUCCGUGCCAGCAGCCGCGGUAAUACGGAGGAUGCGAGCGUUAUCCGGAUUUAUUGGGUUUAAACGGGAGCGUAGGCGGCGGUGCAAGUCAGCGGUAAAAGCCCGGGGCUCAACCCCGGCGAGCCGUUGAAACUGCAGUGCUAGAGAAGGCGAGAGGUACGCGGAAUGCGCAGUGUAGCGGUGAAAUGCUUAGAUAUUGCGCAGAACUCCGAUUGCGAAGGCAGCGUACUGGCGCCUGACUGACGCUGAGGCACGAAAGCGUGGGGGAUCGAACAGGAUUAGAUACC
Molecule: ribosomal RNA, 435 nt
Filed under: uncultured bacterium
Lineage: Bacteria
Description: bacterial SSU rRNA
Rfam family: Bacterial small subunit ribosomal RNA
Source: RNAcentral